Molecule: transfer RNA, 93 nt
Filed under: Terriglobia bacterium
Lineage: Bacteria; Pseudomonadati; Acidobacteriota; Terriglobia
Description: tRNA-Ser
Rfam family: tRNA
About the family: Transfer RNA (tRNA) molecules are approximately 80 nucleotides in length. Their secondary structure includes four short double-helical elements and three loops (D, anti-codon, and T loops). Further hydrogen bonds mediate the characteristic L-shaped molecular structure. tRNAs have two regions of fundamental functional importance: the anti-codon, which is responsible for specific mRNA codon recognition, and the 3' end, to which the tRNAs corresponding amino acid is attached (by aminoacyl-tRNA synthetases). tRNAs cope with the degeneracy of the genetic code in two manners: having more than one tRNA (with a specific anti-codon) for a particular amino acid; and 'wobble' base-pairing, i.e. permitting non-standard base-pairing at the 3rd anti-codon position.
Source: RNAcentral
GGACGGUUGACUGAGUGGUCUAAGGUGCCUGCCUCGAACGCAGGUAACGCUGCAGCACAGCGUUCGCAGGUUCGAAUCUUGCAUCGUCCGCCA